AUCCUGUGGCCUUUUGUCCUGUAGCCCUUGUCAUGUGUCCUGUAGCCCUGUGGCCUCUAUCAUGUAGCCUGUGUCAUAAAACAUUUGUUACAGACUAGGGGGCACAAUACACAGGCUACAGGACGCAGAACACAGGACAUAAGACACAGUCUAUAGGACUCAAGACACAGGACAUAGGCCACAGGACACAAGCUACAGCACAGAGGCCACAUGCUACAGGACACAGGACAUAGCCCAGAUGACAUAGGGCAGAUGAUAUAGGACACAGGCUCCAGGAUAUAGUCCACAGGCUACAGGACACAGGCUACAGGACACAGGAUACACAGCAUAGGACACAGGCCACAGAUUACAGGACACUGGUUAAAGGAUACAGACUACAGGCUACAGAACACAGGCUACAGGACACAGCAUACUCGACACAGGACACAGGCUACACAACACAGGCUGAAGGAAAGAGGUAACAAGACACAGGACACCAGCUAUAGGACAGAGGCCACAGGACACAGGACAAAGGCUGCAGGGUAAAGGCCACAGGCUACAGGCUAUAGGCCAUAGGACAUAGGCCAUAGAUUACAGGACACAGGCUACACAACAUAGGACAUAUGUCACAGGAUACAGGCUACAGGACCUAGGCCCCAGAGAUCAGAGAACAGGCUACAGGACACAGGACAACACUACAGGACAUUGUCCACAGGCUAUAGGAAACGGGCUUCAGGACACAGGACACAGACUACAGCAAAGAGGACAACAGCACUAGGACACACGCCACAGGCUCAGGACACAGGACACAGGCUACGGGGCACAGGUUACAGGCUACAGGAUAUAGUCCACAGGCCACAGGAGACAGGACAAAGGCUAAACAACAUAUGACACAAGCUACAGGACACAGGACAAGGGUAAAGGACACAGGCUACAUGCUAUAUGAACAGGUUAAAGGACGAGGACACUGGCUACAGGACAGAGGACACAGGCUACAGGACACAGGACAUAGCCCAGAUGACACAGGACACAGGAUAUAGGACACAGAAUAUGGAACCUAGGACACAGCCUAGAGGACACAGCCUACGGGACACAGAUUGCAGGACACAGGACAUAGGCGACAAGCUACAGGACACAGGACAGAGGCCACAGGACACAGGACACAGGCUCCACAAUCUAGGACACAGGCCAGAGGCCACAGGACAGUGGCUACAGGACACAGGCUACAGGACACUCUAUCCUAUAGCCAGUGUCCGUUGUCUUGUUCCCUCUUUCCUUCACCCUGUGUCGUGUAGGCUGUGUCCUGUGUCAUGUAGCCUGUGGCCUAUAUCCUUUGUUCUGUAG
RNAcentral lists this long non-coding RNA (1323 nucleotides) under Oryctolagus cuniculus (rabbit). RNAcentral's name for it is "lncRNA (ENSOCUG00000033791.1)". Lineage: Eukaryota; Metazoa; Chordata; Mammalia; Lagomorpha; Leporidae. The record is from RNAcentral.